UGGGGAAUAUUGGACAAUGGGGGCAACCCUGAUCCAGCAAUGCCGCGUGAGUGAUGAAGGCCUUAGGGUUGUAAAGCUCUUUCGCCCGCGACGAUGAUGACGGUAGCGGGAGAAGAAGCCCCGGCUAACUUCGUGCCAGCAGCCGCGGUAAUACGAAGGGGGCUAGCGUUGUUCGGAAUUACUGGGCGUAAAGCGCACGUAGGCGGAUAUUUAAGUCAGGGGUGAAAUCCCAGAGCUCAACUCUGGAACUGCCUUUGAUACUGGGUAUCUUGAGUAUGGAAGAGGUAAGUGGAAUUGCGAGUGUAGAGGUGAAAUUCGUAGAUAUUCGCAGGAACACCAGUGGCGAAGGCGGCUUACUGGUCCAUUACUGACGCUGAGGUGCGAAAGCGUGGGGAGCAAAC
This 401-nucleotide ribosomal RNA is filed under the name uncultured bacterium. RNAcentral's name for it is "bacterial SSU rRNA". It matches the Rfam family "Bacterial small subunit ribosomal RNA", at positions 355 to 773 of the family's 1533-position model. The record is from RNAcentral.